This 444-nucleotide long non-coding RNA is filed under the name Mytilus galloprovincialis (Mediterranean mussel). The record is from RNAcentral. Lineage: Eukaryota; Metazoa; Mollusca; Bivalvia; Mytilida; Mytilidae.
AUAAUGGUAAAUACAAACAUCAGAUAAAGACUACAUUAACUUUAAAAGGUCCCAAUUUGUAGAACAAUACACAGAUACAUCAAUGGUAGGAAAACAAAACUGACAUAUAUUUCAAAACAAAAUCAUGUCACAUCAUAGCUACUGACAGAUAUAUAGUAUAACAUUGUCUCAGGCCCCGAGGAUGUUUUACACAGCAAAUAUUUGAUUAAAAAUCUCCUUUUACACACUUAAUAAACAGGUUGGAUAACUUUUACCUUUCACAACCAGACAAAAACAGCUCCGGGGCUACUCGUAACGUUUAAAGGAUUCGUUGCAACUGUGUUGGAAUUGAUGACAAUAGAAAAGUGUAGAAUUAUAGCCGAUUGGAAUUACUAUGAUAAUCUGGUAAAUAAUCGUUGACUUGACAUAAGUAAAUAUGUGAUUAUGUGAUUUAAUGUCCUCCAC